Molecule: ribosomal RNA, 433 nt
Filed under: uncultured bacterium
Lineage: Bacteria
Description: partial 16S ribosomal RNA
Rfam family: Bacterial small subunit ribosomal RNA
Source: RNAcentral
AACGAACGCUGGCGGCAUGCCUAACACAUGCAAGUCGAACGAGACCUUCGGGUCUAGUGGCGCACGGGUGCGUAACGCGUGGGAACCUGCCCUUAGGUUCGGAAUAACUCCCCGAAAGGGGUGCUAAUACCGGAUAAUGUCUUCGGACCAAAGAUUUAUCGCCUUUGGAUGGGCCCGCGUUGGAUUAGCUAGUUGGUAGGGUAAAAGCCUACCAAGGCGACGAUCCAUAGCUGGUCUGAGAGGAUGAUCAGCCACACUGGGACUGAGACACGGCCCAGACUCCUACGGAAGGCAGCAGUGGGGAAUAUUGGACAAUGGGCGAAAGCCUGAUCCAGCAAUGCCGCGUGAGUGAUGAAGGCCUUAGGGUUGUAAAUCUCUUUUACCCGGGAUGAUAAUGACAGUACCGGGAGAAUAAGCUCCGGCUAACUCCGUG